UUGUGCCGUAAGCGGUGGGCGCGUGUGAGUGAGCGCAAGCAUGUGGGCAGUUUUGUGCGCGUUCACCUGCGUGUGGGGUUGAGCCCCACAGACACGUGUUCAAGGAGAACCAAGGAACCAAGAUGGAGCGGGGUUUGAAACUAGUUGGAGAAAUUGGUACGAAAAAGCGGAAGCCUUUUUCCCGUUUCUUCAGUUUCAAGACACGCAACUUGAUCCUUGACACAGGCCGCUUGCCUCGUGGGACUUGCUCUGCAGGACUCGAUCCCUGUCCGAUUCUCUCCUGGUUCUUCUUCGACCACCUCUAAUCGGCGUUCCUCCGGAGCGUCUCCUUCCUCCAGCAACCGGGGGUAAGAGUAUACGCGAGAUACCCGGUUGCAGGCCUCCGCACGCCGGCUGCAUGCGGAGAGGGAGACGGGAGAAGGGUGUCAACAUCAGAAACCUCUGAUGAGUUCUGCCAGAGACCUGAGAGGGACAAUUACCACAUUGAAGGUCUGCAGCUAUGGAAGAACUGGAAGUACCAGCAUUCAGCCUUGAGUCCAGCACCCCAGCCCUGCUCCAACACCGACACUGACACUAUGGGAAAAGCCUUCCACCAUCCCACUCUCCUUCCCAUGACUCCUGCUGAGAACUCAUGUGAUACACACACAUUACAGUUUUCAAAAUUACUCCUUCAUUUAAGCAGGGUAGUCACAUUGAGAUUGACAUCUCGUUUGCAAAGCUCAAACGUGGCACUACAAGUCUCAGGAGGUUGGGUGGGUGACUGAUUGCUCAAACCAAAGUGUCGAGUUUGAAAUCAAACUUCGAACAAUAUAGAAACACAAUAAUGUGAUUCAGAUGUACAAAUGCCGCAGCGUUAAUGGAUUCGUUCAACUGCUGAUCCGCAACUGCCAAAGCUUUAAUAAACCUUGAUUGCAUUUCCUGCUUUGCAGAAUCUGGAUUAAUGGCAUUACGAUUUUCCUUCAGUAAGCAUUUUGUCAUCUGAAAAUGACAAAUGCUAAAGGUAAAUUGAUUUUAUAUGGAGAUGGCUUUUAUUGAUCCCCUUUCGUGUAUGAGUAUCAUAAUUAUCAUAAUUAUAUCACCUCAGAUUCUUUGCUUCCUGGAUAGAAUCACAUGCACCACAGAUGCUCUAUAGAAACCAGAUGGUCAGCUCCUGCGUUCCGUCUAUCUCCUCUACGAUGUCUUGGCCGGUAACAGGAGUCCCUGGCACUGAAUUACAGUUGCAUCAUUGGAGUGGGUCUUGCCCCUUGGUGUGACAGAAAAUAGAGAAGGUGGGAUUUGCUCAUGUGUGGAUUUGAAGGUGCUUAAUGAAGCUACUGUAGCAGACAGAUUUUUAUGUAAUUUUACAUAAGCAACUGGUCUUGUAACCUGAAGGUCACUGGAUUGAUUCCCGGGUAGGACACUGCUGUUGUACCCUUAAGCAAGGUACUUCACCUGCAUUGCUUCAGUAUAUAUCCAGAAGUAUAAAUGGAUGUAAUGUAAAUGCUAUGUGAAAAGUUGUGUAAGUCGCUCUGGAUAAGAGCGUCUGCUAAGUUUCUGUAAUGUAAUGAUUUUUUUUCUGCAUCGGAAUGACAAAAUGGCUGCAGAUUUGCACAUUUUUUCACAUUUUGGACAUAAGACUGGUGUUUUGAUGUUUUUGCACUAAAAGACAUUUCAUCACACAUCCGGGUUUAUUAAUUUACUUAAACAUGAUUUUAUAUGUAUCUGACUGAAAAAAUUAUGAGCAUUUUUUGGAUGAAUUUAUUUCUCUAUUCUUUUAUGUAUUGUUUCUGGUUUUGUAUUAAAGAAAUAUGUAAUGAUAAAUGUCUUGAAACCCAUUGCUAUUAAUUUGCUUCAAAAUGGUUGUUGAAUAAAGAAUUGUUUCGCACUUCAUUUCAAUUUCAAUUUUUUUUCAUGAUAAAAAAACAAAUUCUUUUCAUGUUUGGCACCUGGUUGUAUUUUUUCGCAUUUUGGAUUAUAGUCAUAUGUGAUUUGUAGUUUGUGUUCUGAUAGAGAUAUUUCACAAAAAAAGUCUUCAAGCAAAUUGCUAUUGAUUUAUUUCACAAUUCUUUUUGAAUAAACUAGAUUGUGCGUGCAUCUGGAUGAAACAAUGAUAUCAGAAUUUUAGCAAUUGCAUUUUUUUAUUUUGCAAAGAAAGGUAUUUCCUAAUAAAAUCCUUAGAACAA
Molecule: long non-coding RNA, 2162 nt
Organism: Anguilla rostrata (American eel)
Lineage: Eukaryota; Metazoa; Chordata; Actinopteri; Anguilliformes; Anguillidae
Exons: 4
Source: RefSeq, a predicted model, not a curated record